AUGCCCACCCAGUCGAGGUCCACUUCUUCUGAAGAGGAGGCGGCCGACGAGAUGACCCUGAGGGGGUUUAUGGAUGAUGCGCCUCAGCCUAGUCAGCUUACUGAGCGGCGUCACUUCAACUUAAAGCCUAGGAAGACCUUCAACCGUUAUACACCGGAGGCAUGGAACAAGAAACAAAAGAGGACCGUUGUCGAGUCCGAGAACGAGUUUGAGGACAAGGAGGAGCCGGCACCGAAGAAGGUUCUGAGGAGGUUGAAGAGGGUCGGGGUGGAGCCAGGGACGAAGAAGGUUGUGAGGCAGGCGAGGGGGAAGAAGUAG
RNAcentral lists this ribosomal RNA (318 nucleotides) under Triticum aestivum (bread wheat). RNAcentral's name for it is "partial small subunit ribosomal RNA". The record is from RNAcentral. Lineage: Eukaryota; Viridiplantae; Streptophyta; Magnoliopsida; Poales; Poaceae.